Molecule: transfer RNA, 74 nt
Filed under: Patescibacteria group bacterium
Lineage: Bacteria
Description: tRNA-Trp
Rfam family: tRNA
About the family: Transfer RNA (tRNA) molecules are approximately 80 nucleotides in length. Their secondary structure includes four short double-helical elements and three loops (D, anti-codon, and T loops).
Source: RNAcentral
AGGUCUGUGGUGAAAGGGUAUCAUUACGGUCUCCAAAACCGUCGUUCCUAGUUCGAAUCUAGGCAGACCUGCCA